ACUCGACUAAGCGAGUAUAAAAAGAACUUAAGCUUAGUGCGUCUCCUGGAUUCACCAGGGGGGUGAAU
Molecule: ribozyme, 68 nt
Filed under: unclassified sequences
Description: pistol ribozyme
Rfam family: Pistol ribozyme
Source: RNAcentral